RNAcentral lists this unclassified non-coding RNA (4283 nucleotides) under Leishmania donovani. RNAcentral describes it as "gene:LdHU3.26.1680(CDS-product:hypothetical_prote in_conserved)". The record is from RNAcentral. Lineage: Eukaryota; Euglenozoa; Kinetoplastea; Trypanosomatida; Trypanosomatidae.
CGUCACUCACAGCCCGGCCACAAUGAAGCGGUUGCCACCGUCGCUGUAUGUGAGCUGUUACCAUCGAAGCUACGGCUGCAGGACUGCUGCUGGCGGUAGCGGCGAUAUGCUGCGGUGUCGCAUAAGCUCGGUGCCGUCUGCUCGAACUUCCGGCGUAGUUUGUGGUAUGGGCAGCAACCCACCACCGGGUGCGUCAAGGGCAAGGCUGAUCUCGUUCUCCCCCUCUCCCUUGAUCACGCAGUGGCAGCAACGACGCCACAUGCACGAUGCGGCUCCUGCAUCAGCACUGCGAUCACACAAUGCCGCCACCGUGGCGGCGAUUACGGAUAACCAGCUCAGUGCUAGUCUUCUAGCCGCGCCACCUGGGCCAUCAAAUGUGUGCCCCCCAUCCUCCUCCACCGUCAACACGUCGGGCUCGACUGAUCACACGCCGGAAAGUUUGCUUCUGACACAGCUGCAGAUGCUCGCUAAGCAGGACCGAGGAACCCCAAAAAGCGACAGCAGCAAGGGGGUUGUCGAUAGCCGUGCCACAGGGACAGAUGUGCCGGUGUUGGCAAAGUCGGCCGGUGCCUUGGCGGCUCUCGUAAGCGACGCUGACAUGUGCGGCAGCGGCAGUCCGGGCGACAGCAUCUUAGCCCCCUCGCAUAACGAUGUACCAGCCUGGCGGCGAGGGCUUGAGCUCGUGCAGACCGCCUCGUGCGUUACUGCAGCGGUCACGGAGUGGCUUCUGUUUCUGUGUCUGCGUAGUAGCCGAUCCGCGACCGAUGCUGCUGAAUCGCUAACCGCGGCACCGUUGGAGGUGUGCGAAGGCGUCUACAGCGCAUGGAGGGAGCUGCAUCGAGGGCAGAAGCCGGAAAGCGACGUAGCAGCAGCAGCAGAUGUAGCUAACACCGUUGCAGUGUCAACAUCAGCGCAUCAGCUACAACCCUCUUCGCCGCUGAUGUCAGGCUCGCCUUCCUCGGCUCGAGCUCAUCUGCCGCGCCACCGCUCCCCUUUCAGCCCUAAAGGGAUCCAUCAUCACUACGCCACGUAUCUCCUGCGUGAGCUUCACCACGCACAGACGGCCGCCGUGUCGCACACGGCAACGCGCAAGGGAAGCAGCGGCACCCAUGGCAACGACGAUGAUUGUAAAGCGCUGAUGUCCACCAAGGACUCGGAUGCAGCAUACGCGGCGCCGACGCAUCGCAUGCGCUACCUGCUUCACAGGGUGCUGGAGGUUCUCCUGGUACAUCUCCCACAAGACCAGGCGGCUGCGGCGGCGGGUUCGGCCGCGAAGACAACGGAAUCAACGGGCGGCGUGAAAGGCAGACGCUCGCGGCAGCGCAAGCCUUCUCUGCGCCCUACAACGGCCUUGCUGGUGCUGGAAGCCGCGCGCCACGCAGCGCGAUUCCACAAGCAAUCAUCAACGCUGAGCGGCGUCGGUCCGUCUGGCAACUUUUCACUGCUCUCUUUCCUGUGGGAGACGGCGCAUGGCACAGGCUCGCCGCAAGACGCGCCGGCGGUGUCACCUUCGCCGACACACUCCGCUCUCGCGGCCGUGGCGCGCGAGGCCUUCGAGACUAUUAUGAGAGGCUCAGCGACGGCGCCAACUGGCACGGCUGCGGCUGCUUCGCAGCAGCACCAUCAACUGCAGAAUGACGCGCUGGUUCUUUACGUGGCCUUCCUCGCGACCAUCUGCAUGCCUCCUAUGUCAGAGCGUUGCCUUGAAGUCGAGCUGCAGGCCAUUGAUAGUUUUGUGCUAGCUGGCUCGCCUACAGCACGCCAACUCGGUGUGCCGUCACCGCACCAGCAGCAGCAGGCGGUGAGCAGCGGACCACCGCGAUCCCUCGUCAGCGCGGAUCGCACGUCCCGUGAUCAAAGCGGGCCCGCAUCCAGUGCGUCAGCUCUGGCAGCAGCUGCCGGUGUGCGGUGGCUGAUGGCCACGUAUCUAAGCCCGUCAUCGUCGUCGGCGUCGGCGUCGGCGCCAGUCUCAGGGCCAAGAGCGGAAGCCGGCCGCCGGCAGUGGGACUUUACGCGCGACGCCGUCGUGGCUGUGCUGUGCCGGUCAAGCCCAUUGCUCAUGUCGGGCAGUCGCGAGCCCUCUUCAGUCGCUCACGUCCACAAUCAAGAUGUGUGUGUCGUGCCGUCGAGUGCUCCACCGGCGCCACUGCCGUGGUGUGCGUGGAUGCUGCGCGCGCUUCUCCACGAUGAUGCUCAUCAGCAACAGAAGCAGGGGUUUGGAACAGCGUCUUUGGGCGGUGCACUAGGAAGCGAUACCGACGAGAUGUCGACGCUGGCAUUGUCGAUUCGGUUGGUCAUGGAACUCCGGCGCCACUCCCAAGCUGCCCUCGCCUGUCGCGGGAGUCCGCUGCGGGAGGAACAUCGGCGGCAUCGCCUCGAUGCGUUGUUGCGCCGGCCGCUGCAGCUGGUUUGGGCAACGUUGCUCGAUGCUGCAGUGCGAGGCCAGCUUAUCCCCGCCAACGUUUGCAGCGCCGCUGUCGACAACGGCGUCGCGACACAGCACAGCGCACGGGCAGGUUUUUGUCCUCAUUGUAGUACGCCGGCCGUGUUGCAGAGGCUGUGCUACCCGCACUACGAUAAGACGCAGUGGCGCCGCGGGACGGUCAACCUCUACAUGCAGCUUCUCGACCAGUGGGGCGAGUCAACGCAAGUGCGGCAGGUAUUUGCGGCAGUCGCGCGGCGCGAGCGCGAGUGGCAGCAGGAGGUGCGCAAGGCUGUGCUGGCGGAGCGCCGGGGGCUCGUCAGUGCUGGUGAUGAGGUCGAUGGCGGGGACGAGGAUGACUCCACAAGCAUGGGCGACAGCGAGGCGGAGGGGAACAGCACGGCGGAGGGCCAGGCGGCAGCGUCCACAGUCAGGGCAGACUCGCAGAAGCCUAUGGUGCCUAGGGUCUUCCGUCGCUAUCGCCCCGCUCUCAACCUCGAGUCGUGCCUCAUCACACUGCGUCACUGUGGCUUUCCCAGACCAGUUUUUACGGAGCUGUGGGACGGGCCUGCGAGUGCCAAGGAUGGCAGCGAGGGCAGCGAUGGUACUCCUGCCGCCGCGGCACAAGCCAAACUCGCAGGUGAGGUGCUGCAGUACAUGAUCUGCUCGCUGCACGUGGCGGAGCGCAGGCCGCACCGCGCGGCGCCCAGUGGCGGUGGUGCAGAUGCGAACCAUGAUCAGGAGAGCCGGGGUGGUGGCACGAAAACGCCGCACGCGCUGUCGGCUGAUGGUGGCCCUGGAGCAAACCUGGCGGAUAGCGCUAUGGAGGCAGAUGGCCUGCCGGUGUCGCACUGGGUGGCGUGGAUACGCAAGUCCUGUGUACCGGCGUUAGAGCAUCUCUACCAAUCGGCCGGGCUGGAGGAUGAGUGGGCGCAGCUGGGCUACCGUCACGAGUAACACAGAAAUCAGAAAGAGCUGUCAGAAACGACGGAGAGAGGAGGGCGUGUACCGAAGGGGCACAUCUCCAUCCUGCCGGGCACACCGACGUGGAGGGUGCGGAGCGGGAUCAUAGAGGAGUGAGGUCUGUAUGCGACUUUUUUUUGCUCUUCUUGCAUCUCGCAAAAAGGCGCCUUGUGUGGUUGCCUACUCACCGUUGUGGUCCCUCGGCACACUCGCUCGAUCUCGCUCUCCGUGGCUACUCUGUGUUCGCUUUUUGUUGUGUCUCCGCCGGCGCUUGGCGCAAGGCAACCCUCUGUCGCUCGUUUUCUCCAUGAGCCAUCGCCAGCGCUGGCAACGUCACGCAUACACACACAAACACACACGCGCACAUGUCUACCAGUGACUCAGUGCCCACUGGUGGUCUGUGAGAGAGAAAAAGGGCAGCGCAGUGCCAACAACCACCUUUGCGGACGCACGCGCAUGCGUGCACGGGCGAGUGUGCUGUGCCCGAUGUCGUGCAGGUUUGUGUCCGCUGAUUCGAUGUGCGCGGAGGGCGCGCGGUCACGCUGUUGUGCGCCUGGUGCUGAUGUGAUGGGUCAAGGUGGCCACUUUGUGUCGCUCGACGCACAGAGAGAGAGAGAGCGAGAGCGAGCGAAGGCGUGUGAAGGGGCGGAGAAAGAGAAGGCUGCUGCAUAUGCGAGUGGGUGCGUGUGUAUAUGGGUGCGUCUGCGUGCCUCUUUCCCUGGCAUGCUGUUCUUGGCUGCCCGUAUCCGUCUAUGUCGCUCUGUCAUGGUGUAUGCUUGCUUGCUUUGGCGGUUGCGCUGAAUGGGACGUCGCACACGGAAAAGAAUGCCGUAAGUAUAUCCUCCGAAAGAAGAAAAAGAGGCGUAGGUGGAAUGUGCCCACACCUCCCGAGAUGCAG